GGAGAACGGGUGAGUAAUACUAUCGGAACGUACCCCGUAGUGGGGGAUAACUCGGCGAAAGCCGUGCUAAUACCGCAUAUGCUCUACGGAGGAAAGCAGGGACCGCAAGGCCUUGUGCUAUGGGAGCGGCCGAUGUCCGAUUAGCUAGUUGGUGGGGUAAUGGCCUACCAAGGCGACGAUCGGUAGCUGGUCUGAGAGGAUGAUCAGCCACACUGGGACUGAGACACGGCCCAGACUCCAUACGGGAGGCAGCAGUGGGGAAUUUUGGACAAUGGGGGCAACCCUGAUCCAGCCAUGCCGCGUGCGGGAACGAAGGCCUUCGGGUUGUAAACCGUUUUGGUCGGGAAGAAAAGGCGUCGGUUAAUAGCUGGCGUUCUUGACGGUACCGGCAGAAUAAGCACCGGUAACUACGUGCCAGCAGCCGCG
This 426-nucleotide ribosomal RNA is filed under the name uncultured bacterium. RNAcentral's name for it is "bacterial SSU rRNA". It matches the Rfam family "Bacterial small subunit ribosomal RNA", at positions 97 to 519 of the family's 1533-position model. The record is from RNAcentral.